Molecule: ribosomal RNA, 301 nt
Filed under: uncultured bacterium
Lineage: Bacteria
Description: partial 16S ribosomal RNA
Rfam family: Bacterial small subunit ribosomal RNA
Source: RNAcentral
CAGCAGCCGCGGGAAAACGUAGGGUGCAAGCGUUAAUCGGAAUUACUGGGCGUAAAGCGUGCGCAGGCGGUUAUAUAAGACAGAUGUGAAAUCCCCGGGCUCAACCUGGGAACUGCAUUUGUGACUGUAUAGCUAGAGUACGGCAGAGGGGGAUGGAAUUCCGCGUGUAGCAGUGAAAUGCGUAGAUAUGCGGAGGAACACCGAUGGCGAAGGCAAUCCCCUGGGCCUGUACUGACGCUCAUGCACGAAAGCGUGGGGAGCAAACAGGAUUAGAUACCCAGGUAGUCCCUGUCUCUUAUAC